CAGUAGCCGCGGGAAUACGGAGGGUGCAAGCGUUAAUCGGAAUUACUGGGCGUAAAGCGCACGCAGGCGGUCUGUCAAGUCAGAUGUGAAAUCCCCGGGCUUAACCUGGGAACUGCAUUUGAAACUGGCAGACUGGAGUCUUGUAGAGGGGGGUAGAAUUCCAGGUGUAGCGGUGAAAUGCGUAGAGAUCUGGAGGAAUACCGGUGGCGAAGGCGGCCCCCUGGACAAAGACUGACGCUCAGGUGCGAAAGCGUGGGGAGCAAACAGGAUUAGAUACCCCUGUAGUCCCUGUCUCUUAUAC
This 301-nucleotide ribosomal RNA is filed under the name uncultured bacterium. Its description in RNAcentral is "partial 16S ribosomal RNA". It matches the Rfam family "Bacterial small subunit ribosomal RNA", at positions 509 to 807 of the family's 1533-position model. The record is from RNAcentral.